This 304-nucleotide ribosomal RNA is filed under the name uncultured bacterium. Its description in RNAcentral is "partial 16S ribosomal RNA". It matches the Rfam family "Bacterial small subunit ribosomal RNA", at positions 509 to 807 of the family's 1533-position model. The record is from RNAcentral.
CAGCAGUCGCCGCGGGAAUACGUAGGUGGCAAGCGUUGUCCGGAGUUAUUGGGCGUAAAGGGCUCGCAGGCGGUUUCUUAAGUCUGAUGUGAAAGCCCCCGGCUCAACCGGGGAGGGUCAUUGGAAACUGGGAAACUUGAGUGCAGAAGAGGAGAGUGGAAUUCCACGUGUAGCGGUGAAAUGCGUAGAGAUGUGGAGGAACACCAGUGGCGAAGGCGACUCUCUGGUCUGUAACUGACGCUGAGGAGCGAAAGCGUGGGGAGCGAACAGGAUUAGAUACCCGAGUAGUCCCUGUCUCUUAUAC